This 886-nucleotide long non-coding RNA is filed under the name Manihot esculenta (cassava). Its description in RNAcentral is "long non-coding RNA (MESC_LNC011602)". The record is from RNAcentral. Lineage: Eukaryota; Viridiplantae; Streptophyta; Magnoliopsida; Malpighiales; Euphorbiaceae.
AAGUGAUUUGCCCGGUGAUUUGACCAGUUUCUUCAAGUGAUUGGGCAAAUCACAGACCCGAUCACGUUUCUAUGAGUCAGUUCUCUCUGUCUUCUGCGAGUGAUUUGGCCAGUGUCUUCGAGUGUCCUGGGCAAAUCACUGACCUUAUCACUUGUUGCCUCCAGGUUUCUGCUUCAGCUUGAUCUGGGCGGAUCACUAGGCAAAUCACUGACCCAAUCACUUUUCUAUCAAUUUUCUGCACUUUUUCUCCAAUUUUCCAAUUUCUUCCUUUUCUGUAAAAACAAGAUAAAAACCAUAAAUUAAACUAAAAAAUAUGUAAAUAAGCAAUAAAAAAGAUAAUAAAAAUGUGGCUAAUUUAUGCUUGAUCAAAUACCCCCACACCUAGCUUUUUGCUUGUCCUCAAGCAACAAAUAACUUAGCCAAUCAAGCCCCUUUUUCUUUUGAGCCUAAGUACCACUUAAUCAGCCCCCCCUAGACUCCUAAUCUGAACUAUCACACUAGACUCCUAAUCUGAACUAUCACAGUAUAGAGUACAUGCACUAAGGUCAUCCUCUCCUUUCCUUGUUUCCUUUCACCUACCAUGGUCAAGGGAAAGGUUUUUGAUUCAAUCAUGCUUAUUCUUUUAUGUUAGGUUUAAUGUAACCCCUAGGAGUGACUUGCCACCUUCUCUCUUUCUCUUUUUUAUUUUUAUUUUCAGCAGCACUUAUUCUUAUCCUUGCCUGAAAAAGUCACUAACCUUUUUACGCGAUUGUGUACAUGGGUGAUACACCCCCGGUUACUCAGUUAGUCACUUGUUCAAGUGGCUACUAGCUCUGUUCAUAGUCUAGACCAUCGAAACUUAUUUGCUUGAAAAAGUUACUGACCUUUUUACGCGAUUGUGUACAUG